CAAAAGGAAUCAUUGCGCAUUGAUUGUUGUAUUUAGACAUCUCUUCCUCAUCCUAAACCAAACUGUAAUCAUCUGCGUUUUGGUGUUCUAAGGACUGGAUGGGGGGGAAGAAGCGAUGGAAGUUGGAAGAAAUUAGUAGCUCAGAGAAGAGGGGGAAGGGAGAUUGGAGCUACUGGAAAUUAUAGGAAUGGGCUCUUUGGGAUGACGGAUCAAAGCUAAGUUUUAAUCGUUUUUUAUGCAGCAAUUCUUCCCAAGGCCGCCCGUUCCGGUGAUUUCCAGGGGCUUCUCCCUUUCCCUUACAUCUCUCCCAAGUUUCUUUACCUAUGGAGGAAGAUCUUGUUCAAAUAAAAGAAAAAGAAAAAGAGAAAACUCCUUUCACAGAGAAAGGCAUGAUGAUGAUGAUGAUGCCUAAGAUCUAAGCUGUUAAGACAAUCCAUUAGGGAUGACAACUCUCUAAUGGUAGAAUUGUUAUAUAUAUGUAUAUAUUUAUUCCCCUGGUCGUUCAAUUAAUCAAUGUGGUUCCUUCUAUCUUUAUUCUAUAGUUGAAAGAAUGAUGCAAUUGUUAAUUAAA
Theobroma umbraticum is the source of this 571-nucleotide long non-coding RNA. RefSeq lists it as uncharacterized. Lineage: Eukaryota; Viridiplantae; Streptophyta; Magnoliopsida; Malvales; Malvaceae. The record is from RefSeq and is a predicted model, not a curated record.